This 253-nucleotide ribosomal RNA is filed under the name uncultured bacterium. RNAcentral's name for it is "partial 16S ribosomal RNA". It matches the Rfam family "Bacterial small subunit ribosomal RNA", at positions 524 to 776 of the family's 1533-position model. The record is from RNAcentral.
UACGUAGGGUGCAAGCGUUAAUCGGAAUUACUGGGCGUAAAGCGUGCGCAGGCGGUUCUCAAAGACAGAUGUGAAAUCCCCGGGCUCAACCUGGGAACUGCAUUUGUGACUGUAGAGCUGGAGUACGGCAGAGGGGGAUGGAAUUCCGCGUGUAGCAGUGAAAUGCGUAGAUAUGCGGAGGAACACCGAUGGCGAAGGCAAUCCCCUGGGCCUGUACUGACGCUCAUGCACGAAAGCGUGGGGAGCAAACAGG